AGAGUUUGAUCCUGGCUCAGGAUGAACGCUGGCGGCGUGCCUAAUACAUGCAAGUCGAGCGGUAAGGCCACUUCGGUGGUACACGGGCGGCGGACGGCUGAGUAACACGUAGGAACGUACCCCAAAGUGAGGGAUAAGCACCAGAAAUGGUGUCUAAUACCGCAUGUGGUCUUCGGACUAAAGCUCCGGCGCUUUGGGAGCGGCCUGCGCAUGAUUAGCUUGUUGGUGAGGUAAUGGCUCACCAAGGCGACGAUCAUUAGCUGGUCUGAGAGGAUGACCAGCCAGACUGGGACUGAGAACGGCCCAGACUCCUACGGGAGGCAGCAGUAGGGAAUUUUCCACAAUGGGCGAAAGCCUGAUGGAGCAACGCCGCGUGCAGGAUAAGGCCUUCGGGUUGUAAACUGCUUUUAUAUGUGACGAAUUGGACGGUAGCAUAUGAAUA
Molecule: ribosomal RNA, 442 nt
Filed under: uncultured bacterium
Lineage: Bacteria
Description: bacterial SSU rRNA
Rfam family: Bacterial small subunit ribosomal RNA
Source: RNAcentral